RNAcentral lists this ribosomal RNA (324 nucleotides) under Macrogradungula moonya. RNAcentral describes it as "partial 12S ribosomal RNA". Lineage: Eukaryota; Metazoa; Arthropoda; Arachnida; Araneae; Gradungulidae. The record is from RNAcentral.
AAGUAGUAAUAGGUUAUAAUUUAAACUAAUUUAAAAUGGCGGCAUUUUCAUUAAUUAGAGGAAUUUGUAUAUUAAUCGACAACCCACGUUAAAUUUUACUUUAAAUUUAAAGUUCAUAUACCGUUGUUUAGACUAUAUAAAUAUAUACUAAAAUAAAUUCUAAAGAAGAUUUAAAAUAUCAAAUCAAGGUGUGGCCUAUAUUUGAGAUUAUAUGUAUUACAAUAUUAUUUAAAAUACAUACUUAUUAGAAAUAAAUAAAAAUUAUUAGGAUUUAAUAUUAAUUUUUCAAUUAUAAUUGAAAAAUGAAACUAUUUAAAAAUGUGU